CCCAAACGGCCCAAACAGCCCAACAAAAGGCUCAGGAGACGGCCCAGGCAGCGAAAGAGAAGACAUCUCAAGCUGCCCAAACGACGCAGCAAAAGGCGCAUGAAACAACACAGGCAACAAAAGACAAGACCUCUCAAGCUGCCCAAACGACCCAGCAAAAGGCUCAUGAGACGACCCAAGCAGCAAAAGACAAGACAUCUCAAGCUGCUAAGACGGCCCAAGAAAAGGCCCAUGAGACGAAGGACAAAACCGGAAGUUACAUGUCCGAGACAGGAGAAGCCAUAAAGCAGAAGGCUCAAAACGCUGCUCAGUACACAAAGGAGACGGCUCAAGAAGCGGCUCAGUACACGAAAGAGA
Molecule: long non-coding RNA, 357 nt
Filed under: Brassica napus (rape)
Lineage: Eukaryota; Viridiplantae; Streptophyta; Magnoliopsida; Brassicales; Brassicaceae
Description: long non-coding RNA (BNAP_LNC004641)
Source: RNAcentral